UACGUAGGGAGCGAGCGUUGUCCGGAUUUAUUGGGCGUAAAGAGCUCGUAGGCGGUCUGUCGCGUCGGCUGUGAAAACCCGGGGCUCAACCCCGGGCCUGCAGUCGAUACGGGCAGACUAGAGUGCGGUAGGGGAGACUGGAAUUCCUGGUGUAGCGGUGAAAUGCGCAGAUAUCAGGAGGAACACCGGUGGCGAAGGCGGGUCUCUGGGCCGUAACUGACGCUGAGGAGCGAAAGCGUGGGGAGCGAACAGG
Molecule: ribosomal RNA, 253 nt
Filed under: uncultured bacterium
Lineage: Bacteria
Description: partial 16S ribosomal RNA
Rfam family: Bacterial small subunit ribosomal RNA
Source: RNAcentral